This 659-nucleotide ribosomal RNA is filed under the name Sinorhizobium medicae. RNAcentral's name for it is "bacterial SSU rRNA". It matches the Rfam family "Bacterial small subunit ribosomal RNA", at positions 110 to 804 of the family's 1533-position model. Lineage: Bacteria; Pseudomonadati; Pseudomonadota; Alphaproteobacteria; Hyphomicrobiales; Rhizobiaceae. The record is from RNAcentral.
GUGAAUGGCGGGAAUCUACCCUUUUCUACGGAAUAGCGCGUGGAAACUUGUGCUAAUACCGUAUACGCCCUUCGGGGGAAAGAUUUAUCGGAAAAGGAUGAGCCCGCGUUGGAUUAGCUAGUUGGUGGGGUAAAGGCCUACCAAGGCGACGAUCCAUAGCUGGUCUGAGAGGAUGAUCAGCCACAUUGGGACUGAGACACGGCCCAAACUCCUACGGGAGGCAGCAGUGGGGAAUAUUGGACAAUGGGCGCAAGCCUGAUCCAGCCAUGCCGCGUGAGUGAUGAAGGCCCUAGGGUUGUAAAGCUCUUUCACCGGUGAAGAUAAUGACGGUAACCGGAGAAGAAGCCCCGGCUAACUUCGUGCCAGCAGCCGCGGUAAUACGAAGGGGGCUAGCGUUGUUCGGAAUUACUGGGCGUAAAGCGCACGUAGGCGGACAUUUAAGUCAGGGGUGAAAUCCCAGAGCUCAACUCUGGAACUGCCUUUGAUACUGGGUGUCUAGAGUAUGGAAGAGGUGAGUGGAAUUCCGAGUGUAGAGGUGAAAUUCGUAUAUAUUCGGAGGAACACCAGUGGCGAAGGCGGCUCACUGGUCCAUUACUGACGCUGAGGUGCGAAAGCGUGGGGAGCAAACAGGAUUAUAUACCCUGGUACUCCACGCCGUA